RNAcentral lists this ribosomal RNA (2903 nucleotides) under Klebsiella quasipneumoniae. RNAcentral's name for it is "23S ribosomal RNA". It matches the Rfam family "Bacterial large subunit ribosomal RNA". The record is from RNAcentral. Lineage: Bacteria; Pseudomonadati; Pseudomonadota; Gammaproteobacteria; Enterobacterales; Enterobacteriaceae.
GGUUAAGCGACUAAGCGUACACGGUGGAUGCCCUGGCAGUCAGAGGCGAUGAAGGACGUGCUAAUCUGCGAAAAGCGUCGGUAAGGUGAUAUGAACCGUUAUAACCGGCGAUGUCCGAAUGGGGAAACCCAGUGCAAUUCGUUGCACUAUCGUUAACUGAAUACAUAGGUUAACGAGGCGAACCGGGGGAACUGAAACAUCUAAGUACCCCGAGGAAAAGAAAUCAACCGAGAUUCCCCCAGUAGCGGCGAGCGAACGGGGAGCAGCCCAGAGUCUGAAUCAGCUUGUGUGUUAGUGGAACGGUCUGGAAAGUCCGACGGUACAGGGUGAUAGUCCCGUACACCAAAAUGCACAGGUUGUGAACUCGAAGAGUAGGGCGGGACACGUGGUAUCCUGUCUGAAUAUGGGGGGACCAUCCUCCAAGGCUAAAUACUCCUGACUGACCGAUAGUGAACCAGUACCGUGAGGGAAAGGCGAAAAGAACCCCGGCGAGGGGAGUGAAAAAGAACCUGAAACCGUGUACGUACAAGCAGUGGGAGCACCUUUAUGGUGUGACUGCGUACCUUUUGUAUAAUGGGUCAGCGACUUAUAUUCUGUAGCAAGGUUAACCGUAUAGGGGAGCCGCAGGGAAACCGAGUCUUAACUGGGCGUUAAGUUGCAGGGUAUAGACCCGAAACCCGGUGAUCUAGCCAUGGGCAGGUUGAAGGUUGGGUAACACUAACUGGAGGACCGAACCGACUAAUGUUGAAAAAUUAGCGGAUGACUUGUGGCUGGGGGUGAAAGGCCAAUCAAACCGGGAGAUAGCUGGUUCUCCCCGAAAGCUAUUUAGGUAGCGCCUCGUGAACUCAUCUUCGGGGGUAGAGCACUGUUUCGGCUAGGGGGUCAUCCCGACUUACCAACCCGAUGCAAACUACGAAUACCGAAGAAUGUUAUCACGGGAGACACACGGCGGGUGCUAACGUCCGUCGUGAAGAGGGAAACAACCCAGACCGCCAGCUAAGGUCCCAAAGUCAUGGUUAAGUGGGAAACGAUGUGGGAAGGCACAGACAGCCAGGAUGUUGGCUUAGAAGCAGCCAUCAUUUAAAGAAAGCGUAAUAGCUCACUGGUCGAGUCGGCCUGCGCGGAAGAUGUAACGGGGCUAAACCAUGCACCGAAGCUGCGGCAGCGACACUAUGUGUUGUUGGGUAGGGGAGCGUUCUGUAAGCCUGCGAAGGUGACCUGUGAGGGUUGCUGGAGGUAUCAGAAGUGCGAAUGCUGACAUAAGUAACGAUAAAGCGGGUGAAAAGCCCGCUCGCCGGAAGACCAAGGGUUCCUGUCCAACGUUAAUCGGGGCAGGGUGAGUCGACCCCUAAGGCGAGGCCGAAAGGCGUAGUCGAUGGGAAACAGGUUAAUAUUCCUGUACUUGGUGUUACUGCGAAGGGGGGACGGAGAAGGCUAUGUUAGCCGGGCGACGGUUGUCCCGGUUUAAGCAUGUAGGCUGGUUAUCCAGGCAAAUCCGGAUAAUCAAGGCUGAGGUGUGAUGACGAGGCACUACGGUGCUGAAGUAACAAAUGCCCUGCUUCCAGGAAAAGCCUCUAAGCAUCAGGUAACAUCAAAUCGUACCCCAAACCGACACAGGUGGUCAGGUAGAGAAUACCAAGGCGCUUGAGAGAACUCGGGUGAAGGAACUAGGCAAAAUGGUGCCGUAACUUCGGGAGAAGGCACGCUGGUGUGUAGGUGAAGCCCCUGCGGGUGGAGCUGAGACCAGUCGAAGAUACCAGCUGGCUGCAACUGUUUAUUAAAAACACAGCACUGUGCAAACACGAAAGUGGACGUAUACGGUGUGACGCCUGCCCGGUGCCGGAAGGUUAAUUGAUGGGGUUAUCCGUAAGGAGAAGCUCUUGAUCGAAGCCCCGGUAAACGGCGGCCGUAACUAUAACGGUCCUAAGGUAGCGAAAUUCCUUGUCGGGUAAGUUCCGACCUGCACGAAUGGCGUAAUGAUGGCCAGGCUGUCUCCACCCGAGACUCAGUGAAAUUGAACUCGCUGUGAAGAUGCAGUGUACCCGCGGCAAGACGGAAAGACCCCGUGAACCUUUACUAUAGCUUGACACUGAACAUUGAGCCUUGAUGUGUAGGAUAGGUGGGAGGCUUUGAAGCGUGGACGCCAGUCUGCGUGGAGCCAACCUUGAAAUACCACCCUUUAAUGUUUGAUGUUCUAACGUUGGCCCCUAAUCGGGGUUGCGGACAGUGUCUGGUGGGUAGUUUGACUGGGGCGGUCUCCUCCCAAAGCGUAACGGAGGAGCACGAAGGUUAGCUAAUCCUGGUCGGACAUCAGGAGGUUAGUGCAAUGGCAUAAGCUAGCUUGACUGCGAGCGUGACGGCGCGAGCAGGUGCGAAAGCAGGUCAUAGUGAUCCGGUGGUUCUGAAUGGAAGGGCCAUCGCUCAACGGAUAAAAGGUACUCCGGGGAUAACAGGCUGAUACCGCCCAAGAGUUCAUAUCGACGGCGGUGUUUGGCACCUCGAUGUCGGCUCAUCACAUCCUGGGGCUGAAGUAGGUCCCAAGGGUAUGGCUGUUCGCCAUUUAAAGUGGUACGCGAGCUGGGUUUAGAACGUCGUGAGACAGUUCGGUCCCUAUCUGCCGUGGGCGCUGGAGAAUUGAGGGGGGCUGCUCCUAGUACGAGAGGACCGGAGUGGACGCAUCACUGGUGUUCGGGUUGUCAUGCCAAUGGCACUGCCCGGUAGCUAAAUGCGGAAGAGAUAAGUGCUGAAAGCAUCUAAGCACGAAACUUGCCCCGAGAUGAGUUCUCCCUGAGACUUUAAGUCUCCUGAAGGAACGUUAAAGACGAUGACGUUGAUAGGCCGGGUGUGUAAGCGCAGCGAUGCGUUGAGCUAACCGGUACUAAUGAACCGUGAGGCUUAACCUU